AGGUAAACGGAAGUUCAAAUAUUCGAAAAGGCUGGUUGCUAUGGAGUGACGUCAUAAACCGGAUAAGUUUCCAUCAUCGCCUUGACAGCCUUUUUCGAUAAUUGCUCGCAGUAAUCUGAGUUGUUGCUUGAAUUUGUACAAUCUCUGUUCCUGCUGGGUACAAUGAAGCCUUUUGUUUAUUAGGGGCUGGAUCGGCCUAUUGACAUUUGGAGAUUGGAUUUCAUAUUAAUAUGCGUAAGCAAAAGCGGGAAUGUUUAGUUUCCCGCGGUCGAGUGCAGUUAUGGAUCCCUUGAAACUUCGAAGGGUUGAAUUGCUUCAUUCUCCUCCAGAUGAGUCAAGGGAAUGGUUUAUCUUAAAUUUCAAGAAAUGUGGCAUAAGAGUCAGCAAGUUUUUUGAAGUAGCCUGUUGGUGGCACAUUUUCCAAGCGUUUUGUACGGUCCAGCUUUAAAAAAUGGCGGAAGCUUGGAUGACCGAUAUGUUCAGAACAACAAAGUGGCCAUCGCCUCUCUAUUUGGAGUUGUUUCUACCAUCUUCCGGCAGAAAUUCGAAGAAGGAGAAGUGGUGAGAUAUCUUUGGUUGAUCGAUAAAAUAAAUUCUUGAUCCUGGAUCAAGAAAAGCUUGGCAAACGUUACUUAGCAUUUUCAAGCUAAGACGAACCGGGUUACUCUUGAUUACAAAACACUGAUAAUGCUGCUCAAGCAAAGAGCUGGUGAUGCCAAAAAAUAUAUCAAUGAACUUUGCAAGCAAGGAUUGGA
This is a long non-coding RNA of Stylophora pistillata, 755 nucleotides long. The record is from RefSeq and is a predicted model, not a curated record. Lineage: Eukaryota; Metazoa; Cnidaria; Anthozoa; Scleractinia; Pocilloporidae.